GGGAGUGACAAGCUUCGACAAAUUGAUGACUUGUCGAUGUGCAAGCCGAGUGGCAACCUCGUACCAAGUUGCAAAAGUAAUAAGUGCAAACUUAUCCAACAAAAUGCCGGCUUUCGCUUUCGCGUAACUGGCUUGUCCCGCCGCUUUAUGCCGCGGGGCCAUCGACCGGUCCUUGCUUGAAGGGCCGUCCAUCGGUGUUAUAACUCAAGCUCUGCCGUAGCGGCGUCGACCGCUGCGACGAAUGCAUUCGGCAAAGAGAAAUGCGUAUGGUGUCGGAUACAAGCGCGCUUCUCUCAACUCUAUCCGACUACGCUUGUAGUGCAUCGGGAAGAAUCAGUUUGGACGCGGAUGCAAUUUCCGCCACUUCCACAA
This 372-nucleotide transfer-messenger RNA is filed under the name Patescibacteria group bacterium. It matches the Rfam family "transfer-messenger RNA". From Rfam's summary of the family: Bacterial tmRNA, also known as 10Sa RNA or SsrA, is named for its dual tRNA and mRNA-like properties. Its role is to liberate the mRNA from a stalled ribosome. The record is from RNAcentral.